UGGGGAAUUUUGGACAAUGGGCGAAAGCCUGAUCCAGCAAUGCCGCGUGUGUGAAGAAGGCCUUCGGGUUGUAAAGCACUUUUGUCCGGAAAGAAAUCCUUGGCUCUAAUACAGUCGGGGGAUGACGGUACCGGAAGAAUAAGCACCGGCUAACUACGUGCCAGCAGCCGCGGUAAUACGUAGGGUGCAAGCGUUAAUCGGAAUUACUGGGCGUAAAGCGUGCGCAGGCGGUUUGCUAAGACCGAUGUGAAAUCCCCGGGCUCAACCUGGGAACUGCAUUGGUGACUGGCAGGCUAGAGUAUGGCAGAGGGGGGUAGAAUUCCACGUGUAGCAGUGAAAUGCGUAGAGAUGUGGAGGAAUACCGAUGGCGAAGGCAGCCCCCUGGGCCAAUACUGACGCUCAUGCACGAAAGCGUGGGGAGCAAACAGGAUUAGAUACCCUGGUAGUCCACGCCCCUAAACGAUGUCAACUAGUUGUUGGGGGAUUCAUUUCCUUAGUAACGUAGCUAACGCGUGAAGUUGACCGCCUGGGGAGUACGGUCGCAAGAUUAAAACUCAAAGGAAUUGACGGGGUCAUAGCUGUUU
Molecule: ribosomal RNA, 584 nt
Filed under: uncultured bacterium
Lineage: Bacteria
Description: partial 16S ribosomal RNA
Rfam family: Bacterial small subunit ribosomal RNA
Source: RNAcentral